Molecule: ribosomal RNA, 253 nt
Filed under: uncultured bacterium
Lineage: Bacteria
Description: partial 16S ribosomal RNA
Rfam family: Bacterial small subunit ribosomal RNA
Source: RNAcentral
UACGUAGGGUGCAAGCGUUGUCCGGAAUUAUUGGGCGUAAAGAGCUCGUAGGCGGUUCGUCGCGUCGGCUGUGAAAUCCCGAGGCUCAACUUCGGGUCUGCAGUCGAUACGGGCGGACUGGAGUUCGGCAGGGGAGACUGGAAUUCCUGGUGUAGCGGUGAAAUGCGCAGAUAUCAGGAGGAACACCGGUGGCGAAGGCGGGUCUCUGGGCCGAUACUGACGCUGAGGAGCGAAAGCGUGGGGAGCAAACAGG